UGGGGAAUAUUGCACAAUGGGCGCAAGCCUGAUGCAGCCAUGCCGCGUGUGUGAAGAAGGCCUUCGGGUUGUAAAGCACUUUCAGCGAGGAGGAAGGUGGUGAACUUAAUACGUUCAUCAAUUGACGUUACUCGCAGAAGAAGCACCGGCUAACUCCGUGCCAGCAGCCGCGGUAAUACGGAGGGUGCAAGCGUUAAUCGGAAUUACUGGGCGUAAAGCGCACGCAGGCGGUUUGUUAAGUCAGAUGUGAAAUCCCCGGGCUCAACCUGGGAACUGCAUUUGAAACUGGCAAGCUAGAGUCUCGUAGAGGGGGGUAGAAUUCCAGGUGUAGCGGUGAAAUGCGUAGAGAUCUGGAGGAAUACCGGUGGCGAAGGCGGCCCCCCUGGACGAAGACUGACGCUCAGGUGCGAAAAGCGUGGGGCAGCAAACAGGAUUAGAUACCCUGGUAGUCCACGCUGUAAACGAUGUCGAUUUGGAGGUUGUGCCCCUUGAGGCGUGGNUUCCGGAGCUAACGNGUUAAAUCGACCGCC
This 530-nucleotide ribosomal RNA is filed under the name uncultured bacterium. RNAcentral describes it as "partial 16S ribosomal RNA". It matches the Rfam family "Bacterial small subunit ribosomal RNA", at positions 355 to 873 of the family's 1533-position model. The record is from RNAcentral.